Lagopus muta (rock ptarmigan) is the source of this 419-nucleotide long non-coding RNA. RefSeq lists it as uncharacterized. The transcript is spliced from 3 exons. Lineage: Eukaryota; Metazoa; Chordata; Aves; Galliformes; Phasianidae. The record is from RefSeq and is a predicted model, not a curated record.
CCUGACCCUGACCCUAGGGAUGCUCCCCAGGAGCCAGGGGAGGGAACCCACAGCGCUGCACAGCACCCCCUGAUCCCAGCCAGCAGCGAGGGGAGCAGAGCGGCUCCAAGGCACGAGAGGGGCUGAGCUGAGAGCCAGGACGUCAAACAGGGCUUGGAGAAUGAGGCCCUUCUGGGCCGACAGCUGAGUGGAUCUCGCCUCCAGCUCCUGCCUCUUCUCCAUCUGAACCCGAGAGUUCCUGAAGGCAAAGGCAAAGCGAGCCUUGAGCACUGCUCACAGAGCUCAGAGCUGCAGAGGCUCCCCGGUGCCAGGCAUGGGCCAAAGGCCCCUUCUGCCCCCGCGCUGCCGCCUUCAGCCCGAGCCGGGCGCUGGGAAGAUGCUUCCGCACCGAAGCCCACCCUGCUGCCCAGGCGACCCCC